UAACAAGACACUAAAAUAGAUUAAAGAACUUAGCAAUUUAGCCUAUGACUUCCAACACUAUAUUUUACAGGUAGUUAGCAAUGUUUCAUUGGCAAGCCACAAUUAUGGAAUCGAAUAAUAGCCCAUGUUAAGGUGGUGUAUUCUUUUCAGCAAUUCAUUUUCCUACAGACUACCCCUUCAGAACCCUAAGGUUGCAUCCACAAGAACUUAUAUACAUUAUCUAACAUUAUCUAAAUAUUAACAGCAAUAGCAGCAUUUGAUAUGCCAUUUUAAGAUUACAGUGGUCUACUGCCUUGAUAUUUUUCAAGAUGCCUUUGUUUCUGCCAUGUGCUCCAAAUCCCUGAUGCCUCCUGGUGCCAAAAAUUACACAGAAUUACAAGUGAAACAGAAUAUCUUGGAAAUUGACUCAAAAAGAUAUUAUGUGA
This 425-nucleotide long non-coding RNA is filed under the name Homo sapiens (human). Its description in RNAcentral is "non-protein coding lnc-CTXND2-6:2". Lineage: Eukaryota; Metazoa; Chordata; Mammalia; Primates; Hominidae. The record is from RNAcentral.